This 596-nucleotide ribosomal RNA is filed under the name Adelie penguin guano bacterium 258. Its description in RNAcentral is "bacterial SSU rRNA". It matches the Rfam family "Bacterial small subunit ribosomal RNA", at positions 93 to 686 of the family's 1533-position model. The record is from RNAcentral.
GAGCGGCGGACGGGUGAGUAAUACUUAGGAAUCUACCUAGUAGUGGGGGAUAGCUCGGGGAAACUCGAAUUAAUACCGCAUACGACCUACGGGAGAAAGGGGGCAACUUGUUGCUCUCGCUAUUAGAUGAGCCUAAGUCGGAUUAGCUAGAUGGUGGGGUAAAGGCCUACCAUGGCGACGAUCUGUAGCUGGUCUGAGAGGAUGAUCAGCCACACCGGGACUGAGACACGGCCCGGACUCCUACGGGAGGCAGCAGUGGGGAAUAUUGGACAAUGGGGGAAACCCUGAUCCAGCCAUGCCGCGUGUGUGAAGAAGGCCUUUUGGUUGUAAAGCACUUUAAGCAGUGAAGAAGACUCUUCGGUUAAUACCCGGAGACGAUGACAUUAGCUGCAGAAUAAGCACCGGCUAACUCUGUGCCAGCAGCCGCGGUAAUACAGAGGGUGCAAGCGUUAAUCGGAAUUACUGGGCGUAAAGGGAGCGUAGGUGGCUCGAUAAGUCAGAUGUGAAAUCCCCGGGCUCAACCUGGGAACUGCAUCUGAUACUGUUGAGCUAGAGUAUGUUAGAAGGAAGGUAGAAUUCCAGGUGUAGCGGUGAAA